This is a non-coding RNA of Mycena vulgaris, 97 nucleotides long. NCBI's taxonomy places the organism in Eukaryota, Fungi, Basidiomycota, Agaricomycetes, Agaricales, Mycenaceae. The record is from the annotation of a GenBank genome assembly.
GGCCGUCUCGCUCAGUUGGUUAGAAUGUCGUGCUAAUGUUAGGGGCGUCUCUCGAAUAUCUACGCGAAGGUCUUGGGUUCGACCCCCACGAUGGCCA